RNAcentral lists this ribosomal RNA (252 nucleotides) under uncultured bacterium. RNAcentral describes it as "partial 16S ribosomal RNA". It matches the Rfam family "Bacterial small subunit ribosomal RNA", at positions 524 to 776 of the family's 1533-position model. The record is from RNAcentral.
UACGUAAGGUCCGAGCGUUGUCCGGAAUUAUUGGGCGUAAAGGGUACGUAGGCGGAUAAGCAAGUUAGAAGUGAAAUCCUAUAGCUCAACUAUAGUAAGCAUUUAAAACUGCUCAGCUUGAGGUAUGGAAGGGGAAGUGGAAUUCCUAGUGUAGCGGUGAAAUGCGCAGAUAUUAGGAGGAAUACCGGUGGCGAAGGCGACUUUCUGGACAUAGACUGACGCUGAGGUACGAAAGCGUGGGGAGCGAACAGG